UUUCAUCCUAGCCGCCUCUGAUUAGAUUCUUGUAACGUCUUCACUUUCCCAUUAAUUUUCUCCUUUAGUCAGACCAUUAACAUUGUCAUCCCACUCGCUGCAUUAUUAAUUCGAGCUCAGACUCUUAGUUACCUAACCGGCGAAAGAUUUGGUUUCGUCGAUCGACUGCGACUCGACUUGGGUUUGUGCUUUCAGUCCGUAAAAAAACAAGAGCUGAUUGGCAGCGUUUAUUCAGUAUUGGGGAGGUGAAAUCCAAUCCCUUCGCUUCGAGCCAGGCUUAGCAACGCGAGGGGAGAAACAGGCCCGGUUCACCAUAAUGUAGACCUGAGAACGUUUAACACAGUCAGAACUCAAAGCUACAUGAAGGGAUGAGUGAAAGAAAAGGCAGUGCCUCUCAAUGAUAUACGAAGGUAAAAACGGGAAUUUUGGUCGAGAGACAUUUCACGACUUACAUAGCUCGAGAACAACUUUUUCAAGCAAGGUGAUGACUCUGUAAAAAAAAUUCCAAGCUAUUUUCUUUUGACAACUAUACAUAAUUUUGGCUUAUUUCUUCCUGGUCAGAUUAGUAGAUAUCUCUAAUGCAGAAGCUUUUGAUUUUUGUU
Molecule: long non-coding RNA, 602 nt
Organism: Brassica oleracea var. oleracea
Lineage: Eukaryota; Viridiplantae; Streptophyta; Magnoliopsida; Brassicales; Brassicaceae
Exons: 5
Source: RefSeq, a predicted model, not a curated record